CGGGAAAAGCUCAAAUUUAAAAUCUGGUAGUCUUUGGCUGCCCGAGUUGUAAUCUAGAGAAGUGUUAUCCGUAUUGGACCAUGUAAAAGUCUCCUGGAAUGGAGCAUCAUAGAGGGUGAGAAUCCCGUC
RNAcentral lists this ribosomal RNA (129 nucleotides) under Conocybe sp. RNAcentral's name for it is "partial large subunit ribosomal RNA". It matches the Rfam family "Eukaryotic large subunit ribosomal RNA", at positions 99 to 225 of the family's 3401-position model. The record is from RNAcentral. Lineage: Eukaryota; Fungi; Basidiomycota; Agaricomycetes; Agaricales; Bolbitiaceae.